CGUUAAAGCAGGAGGAAGGUGGGGGAUGACGUCAAGUCUUCAUGGCCNUAAUAUCCAGGGGUACACAGGUACAAACAAUGGGAGUCACAGUGAGAUGCCAAGUCGCAAGAUGGAGCAAAUUUCCUAAAAGCUCUCUAAGUUCAGAUUGCAGUNUGCAANUCGACNGCAUGAAGGUGGAAUCGCUAGUAAUCGCGGAUCAGCAUGCCGCGGUGAAUACGUUUCCCGGGCUUUGUACACACCGCCCGUCACACCAUGAAAGUCGGCNG
RNAcentral lists this ribosomal RNA (266 nucleotides) under uncultured bacterium. RNAcentral's name for it is "partial 16S rRNA". It matches the Rfam family "Bacterial small subunit ribosomal RNA", at positions 1156 to 1417 of the family's 1533-position model. The record is from RNAcentral.